CCUCAUGUCUAGUAUAAGCAUUUAUACCGUGAAACUGCGAAUGGCUCAUUAAAUCAGUUAUCGUUUAUUUGAUAGUACCUUACUACUUGGAUAACCGUGGUAAUUCUAGAGCUAAUACAUGCUGAAAACCCCAACUUCGGGAGGGGUGUAUUUAUUAGAUAAAAAACCAACGCCCUUCGGGGCUUCUUGGUGAUUCAUGAUAACUUCACGGAUCGCAUGGCCUUGCGCCGGCGACGGUUCAUUCAAAUUUCUGCCCUAUCAACUUUCGAUGGUAAGGUAUUGGCUUACCAUGGUUUCAACGGGUAACGGGGAAUUAGGGUUCGAUUCCGGAGAGGGAGCCUGAGAAACGGCUACCACAUCCAAGGAAGGCAGCAGGCGCGCAAAUUACCCAAUCCCGACACGGGGAGGUAGUGACAAUAAAUACUGAUACAGGGCUCUUUUGGGUCUUGUAAUUGGAAUGAGUACAAUUUAAACCUCUUAACGAGGAACAAUUGGAGGGCAAGUCUGGUGCCAGCAGCCGCGGUAAUUCCAGCUCCAAUAGCGUAUAUUAAAGUUGUUGCAGUUAAAAAGCUCGUAGUUGAAACUUGGGCCUGGCUGGCAGGUCCGCCUCACCGCGUGUACUUGUCCGGCCGGGCCUUUCCUUCUGGAGAACCUCAUGCCCUUCACUGGGUGUGUUGGGGAACCAGGACUUUUACUUUGAAAAAAUUAGAGUGUUCAAAGCAGGCCUUUGCUCGAAUACGUUAGCAUGGAAUAAUAGAAUAGGACGUGCGGUCCUAUUUUGUUGGUUUCUAGGACCGCCGUAAUGAUUAAUAGGGACAGUCGGGGGCAUCAGUAUUCAAUUGUCAGAGGUGAAAUUCUUGGAUUUAUUGAAGACUAACUACUGCGAAAGCAUUUGCCAAGGAUGUUUUCAUUAAUCAGUGAACGAAAGUUAGGGGAUCGAAGACGAUCAGAUACCGUCGUAGUCUUAACCGUAAACUAUGCCGACUAGGGAUCGGGCGAU
Molecule: ribosomal RNA, 1000 nt
Filed under: Phoma sp.
Lineage: Eukaryota; Fungi; Ascomycota; Dothideomycetes; Pleosporales; Didymellaceae
Description: SSU rRNA
Rfam family: Eukaryotic small subunit ribosomal RNA
Source: RNAcentral